This 491-nucleotide ribosomal RNA is filed under the name uncultured bacterium. RNAcentral describes it as "partial 16S ribosomal RNA". It matches the Rfam family "Bacterial small subunit ribosomal RNA", at positions 29 to 506 of the family's 1533-position model. The record is from RNAcentral.
AGUGAACGCUGGCGGUAGGCCUAACACAUGCAAGUCGAACGGCAGCACAGUAAGAGCUUGCUCUUACGGGUGGCGAGUGGCGGACGGGUGAGGAAUACAUCGGAAUCUACUUUUUCGUGGGGGAUAACGUAGGGAAACUUACGCUAAUACCGCAUACGACCUACGGGUGAAAGCAGGGGAUCUUCGGACCUUGCGCGAUUGAAUGAGCCGAUGUCGGAUUAGCUAGUUGGCGGGGUAAAGGCCCACCAAGGCGACGAUCCGUAGCUGGUCUGAGAGGAUGAUCCGCCAACUUGGAACUGAGAACCGGCCCAGACCCCGAGGGGAGGCAACAGUGGGGAAUAUUGCACAAUGGGCGCAAGCCGAACCCAGCCACACCGCGUGGGUGAAGAAGGCCUUCGGGUUGUAAAUCCUUUUUGUUGGAAAAGAAAAGCGGCAGGUUAAACCCCCGGUGUUCUGACGGUACCAAAAAAAUAAGCACCGGCAAACUUCGU